ACUCAUACGGGAGGCAUCAGUGGGGAAUAUUGCACAAUGGGCGCAAGCCUGAUGCAGCCAUGCCGCGUGUGUGAAGAAGGCCUUCGGGUUGUAAAGCACUUUCAGCGAGGAGGAAGGUGGUGAACUUAAUACGUUCAUCAAUUGACGUUACUCGCAGAAGAAGCACCGGCUAACUCCUGCCAGCAGCCGCGGUAAUACGG
Molecule: ribosomal RNA, 200 nt
Filed under: uncultured Serratia sp.
Lineage: Bacteria; Pseudomonadati; Pseudomonadota; Gammaproteobacteria; Enterobacterales; Yersiniaceae
Description: partial 16S ribosomal RNA
Rfam family: Bacterial small subunit ribosomal RNA
Source: RNAcentral